CAGGCCCGGAGGGCUGUGAAGGGCUAUGAGUAUGGGAGAAAGGGACAGGUGGGUGCAGUUAGGGCUCACCUCAUGGACGCACUCCACCUGCCUCAGGACAAUCUUGGCUGCUGGGAGUCUGCCUCACACAGAGGAGCGGGCCGGGGCCCCAGGAUUACAGCAGUCACAGGUCCAUUAGCGUUAGUUAUAAAGGGAUGGAGACGAGUGGCCCUUCUAAGACACAAUCAGGGGAGUUUCAAUCAGAGGCCAUGUCCUCUCAGGGGUGAGCAGAGUUAACAGUGUGGACACUGAUUGAGACUCUGUGGAUGAGGCCGGAUGAAGCGUGUUAACAAGCGCCCGCUGGCCGAGGCUGGUCGGCUGCUGGGCCGGCCUGCACCAUCCGCCAGGGCUAGGGGUCCGCAGAGCUGACGACUGCAUUUGCACAGACCACGGUGACCUGGAGUCAAUUCACGAGCUCCUCUGGCUUCCGGGAAGUUGGAAAGCAUGACUAAGCUGUUGUACGUGACUCAGGCCUCAGAUGGAUCCAGGGUCUGGAUGGAGCUGGGUUCCUCUCGUUAGCAACGAAAACAGUUCCAACUAAAAAUACACCAGAAAACCCUAAUUGAGUGGAGAAGCGUUUAAUGAAGGCAGCCUCCUGCGACCCGCCUCGGGAAGGCCUAGCCGUGGAGAAGCCUUCAGCCAGCCCCCUGUAGCCGUCUCAGCUCCAGCGCCCACGGGGAAAUAAGCCACCCCUGGGGUGGCCGACCUCAAGGGUUGGUGAUGGCGAAUGAAGUGUCGAGAAUGAGAGGAGCCCCUGUUGGGGCUUUGGGGCUCCUUGGGGUGGAUGGCCCCAGUCGAGGAGGAGGAAGGGAAGGGUUGAGCACAGCUCCGUGUCUCCAGCAUCCCUAGGGUCAGGGUCCAUGCUGGGCCCCUUAGAGUCUUGGGGUCCUUCAUGCUCAACAGCUGGGCUGCAGGUAGAUGUCAUUGUCCCCGACUCGUUGCCGAGAACCAAAGACUCAGACCCUGCUGAUGUCUUCAACUAGUCAGUGGCAAAGUGGGGACUCAAGCCCCAUCCCUCUGCCCCCUUUCAUGUCCCCUGUGGCUUAAAAGGACAGCUGUCAUCUGCUCUGAGGCAGCAGGAGAGGGAUUGUGUUCUCAGCCUACAGAGGGGCGAGCUGAGGACUGGAGGGUUAGGUGCCUUGUCCAGGGGACUCAGGACAUCCCUGGCACCCAAGGCUCCCUGCCCCCCUGCCAUGGGUUGAAUUGGGUCCCCCAAAGAUAUGUUGAAGUUCUGAUCGCUGUGGCCCUAUUGGAAAUCGAGCUUUUGCAGAUGUGAUCAAGGUAACAUGAGGUCGUACUGGAAUAUGCUGGGCUCAAUCCAGUAUGGCUGGUGGAGAGACACAGACACACAGAGGGAAGACCGUGUGAAGACAGAGGCAGAGCCUGGAGUGAUGCUGCCAUAAGCCGAGGGAUGCCUGAGGCUACCAGGAGCUGGACGGAGCAGGAGGGGUCCUCUCCUAGAGCCUUUGGAAGGACAACUCAACUUCAGACUUCUGGCUCCCAGAACUGGGAGACAAAGCACCUUGUCUGAAGCCACCCUGUUUGUGGUACUUUGUUAAGGCAGCCCUGGGAACGAACACGCUUGGUGGGCUCAGCGUGACCCGGCACCCAGGCCUGCAGCCGGGAUCGCUGAGCAGAGCAGGGCCGGGGACCGAGGGCUGUCUGGGAGGGAGGAGAGCCGCCAUUGCCCUCCCUCCUGGGCGCCUGGGCACCGGCACACGCAGUCGCGACGACAGAGACGACAGAGCGCCUCCAGCUGCUGCGUGGCUGGGCGAGCUCUCGGCUGGUUGAGGGAGCAGCCACACCAGCUGCCCCUACCAGCUCCCGCUGCUGCCAUCACAGAGCACGCAUGGCAUCUUGCCGAGCUGGCCCUUGAAUAGGGAAAUGCUGUUUCCCAGCCGCAGCACUGGGGAGCCGGGAGCACAGCAUGCUUUCAGAGGCGGGAGCUUGCGACCCCGGACGUUCAGCAUUAAGCAGACGUCCACGCACUGGGCUGCCAGGCAGGCUCACGGCGCCAGGAGCGGCCAGGCAGCAAGGACCUCAUUCAAGGCUGGUUUGCAUCCCAAGCAAAGGCACCAAGGGGCACAGGGCACUUGUCACGGAG
This is a long non-coding RNA of Equus caballus (horse), 2143 nucleotides long. Lineage: Eukaryota; Metazoa; Chordata; Mammalia; Perissodactyla; Equidae. The record is from Ensembl.